Molecule: RNA transcript, 1073 nt
Organism: Astyanax mexicanus (Mexican tetra)
Lineage: Eukaryota; Metazoa; Chordata; Actinopteri; Characiformes; Acestrorhamphidae
Gene name: transmembrane protein 238
Exons: 3
Source: RefSeq, a predicted model, not a curated record
UGGUGGGCGUGUCCUCGGUGAGUUGGUGUUCAGGUGUUUCGGGUCUGCAGGUCAGAGUCUCGGACUCGGAACCAGACCGGUAUGGACCUGCGCUUUAUUGGCGCGUGCGCGCCGCUCUUCCUGCUCGCGCUGCUGUUUGACGUGGUGGGCUUCGUGCUGCUGUUCGUGGGUAUUUUUGCUAACCUGCAGGUGAACGGCCGCUUCUACGGGGACUUUCUGAUCCACACCGGCGGCGUGCUGGUGUUCUGCAGCCUGGGUUGGUGGCUCAUGUGGUACGCGGGCAACAUCCAGGUGAGCAGAGAGGGCGCGAGCCGGGGCAGAGGCGGCACUGCGCACAGGUGCAAACAGCUGGCCAGGAAACUGACCGAGAGGCUCUCCAGAACCCAGCGCAAAGAGGACGAUCAGCAGAGCGUGAUGAAGACUACUGGAGGAGGAGGAGCAGGGGGGGCAGAUAUGGGAGAUAAAGAAGCCGCGAGACCCCAAGCAGGGUCAAAGGUGACCUGGGGUAAAUCGUCCUGCUACCACAACCAGGGCUAUGAAGAGGAACUAGAGAACCACAUGCCUGAGGAGCAGCAGGAGGAGGAGGAGAAGAACCUCGAGAUGCUGCUGUAAAGCAGUUGGGUGUAUGUAUUCAGUUCCAGUUCAUCUUUAAAUCAACAUAUCAGGUCACACAGUUGUAGAAGGGAGUGUCUCUGGAACGCUGGGAUCUAAUGUGAAAAAAUACUUCUUUUAUACAGUUUUAUAAAGUGCAAUAUCUUCUGUUUGAUUGAAUUAUGUUACAUUUCAGUUAGUAAAAUGUAUGUAAUGCACAUAUUUAGUGCAGCUAGACUAGUUUUAAUUUUUUUAUGUUAACUGUAUUUAAUGUACACUGUUGUGAUGAACUUUAUUUUGAUGGUUCACUGUAGAUACUUUUGUUACUGUACAUGUAAUUCUUACAUUUCUAAUGAGAACAUCAACAUAAAGUGGGGUCUAACAUUUCAUAACCAUCAUUUCUUGUUAUGUUUUUUAACAAAAUUAGAAAAUACUGGCUGUGCUGGUCUGACAGAUAGACCAACAUAAACAGUCAAACAUUA